RNAcentral lists this ribosomal RNA (262 nucleotides) under uncultured bacterium. RNAcentral describes it as "partial 16S ribosomal RNA". It matches the Rfam family "Bacterial small subunit ribosomal RNA", at positions 99 to 354 of the family's 1533-position model. The record is from RNAcentral.
CGCACGGGUGAGUAACACGUGAGUGACCUGCCUUUUAGACUGGAACAACUUACCGAAAGGUGAGCUAAUGCCGGAUGAGUUAUAUAAGUGCAUGUUUAUAUAGGAAAAGUUGGGGAGACCUGACGCUGAAAGAUGGACUCGCGUCCCAUUAGCUAGUUGGUAGGGUAAUGGCCUACCAAGGCGACGAUGGGUAGCCGGCCUGAGAGGGUGGCCGGCCACACUGGGACUGAGACACGGCCCAGACUCCUACGGGAGGCAGCAG